This 1523-nucleotide long non-coding RNA is filed under the name Bemisia tabaci. Its description in RNAcentral is "lncRNA ENSSSA2NGG012396". Lineage: Eukaryota; Metazoa; Arthropoda; Insecta; Hemiptera; Aleyrodidae. The record is from RNAcentral.
CACCGUGGGUGAACAGCUGAGAUGCGAUCCGCCAUUAUUCCUUUGUCAGUUACAGCACGUUGACGCCGGAGUCCGUGCCUCCGUGCGCGUGGCUUUAUUGAUCCGUAUUAAUCCAUAUGAAUUCACGCGGAGUCUGUCCAAAUUUGUGUUCAAAUCGUCUCUAAAGCCCCCAUCUUCUCUUUGAAUCUAUCUAUUUUGACCUGCCACGUAUAUUUUCUGAGAUUUCUUAGUAACUCGUAUCGAAUACUUUUUGGAGGUUAGGAGUUGCUGCAAUGAAUCUGGCUGGCGGAAUGAGUGAAUUAUGAACACUUGAAGUGUUAUCAUGGGGGUCCUCAUUUAUUCUCUCGGCCCAUGGUGUUAUGCCUAAGCAAAAUGUUUGUGUUAUUGAGUGAAUAUCGGUGCUGUGUGAAGUCAUCUCGAAAGCGUUAAGAAGCGUUCGUACGAGUACAUCUGCUGUUCGUGUUUAAAUUUUCGAAGACCAAAAUACUCAGAUGAAGAGCCAAAUGUGCGUGGAAUUUUUGUUCAACAGUAAGCUUUAAUCAAAAGUUGAGUUUUGCCCCACCGUGAACUUUGUGGCGCUUGGAUUUACGUGCAGUGUCUCAUAUUUUUCGAAAGAUAAAUUAGGUAUUCUAUGUGGUUAAAGAGGUUGUUUCUGAUUGUUGUUGGAAAAUUUCAUGCAUGUUUCAGAGCUGAAGCAAAUAUUUUGAAUAUCUGAUUUCAUGAAUACCUAGCCAGAAAACUAAUUACAUAAGUAGCUCUUUUAAAACAUGGGUUAAACCCCAAGUGGCCCUUGUGAAUAUUUGCUAAGAUUUCUGGACGUUUGAUUCAGGUAUAAUCAUACAAUUUCAACUGAAAAUUAGACUAUUGUGCACAUGAAUUUGGGCUUCAAACCGUUCGCUGAGGAAAGGAAACCGAAAUCUGUUAGAGCUCGAUAUAUGAUGUGUUAUGUUGGCCAUCGGACAUCCUGAUUGGUAGUUGUGUUCGGCUCCCAUGUGGAAGGAAGGUCCUCAGGGAUCACUCUCGUUGUACUUUCGCUAAAUAUAUCAUCGUACGUUCUCGCCUGUGGCGUUUUCAGUCUGAAAUGGUGUCAUCUCAUUUCAUUUCUUCUUUCUCUUGUGAUUAUCCCAUCCAUUAUUCUCCGCGCAUGAUCUUCCCUUCCCAAGUAAAAUUUUCCGUGAAACUGUGAGUUUUUUCCAAAGAAUCGGAGUCACGGAAUUUUCGGACAGAAAAUUGUCCCUGACCAUGAUUUCCCAAAAGCUGGUUUUCGUGACCAUGAUUUCCGAGGCCGUGAUUUCCGCGAGGCCGUGAUUUCCCCGGCCGUGAUUUUCGAGGCCGUGCAAUUUCCGUGGCCACGAUUCCGUUGCAGCUAGUUUCCGUGCUGUACUAGCUUACAUGGUUUACCUGCUUCAUGGCAUGGAAAUCUCAUAGUUACACAUGCAAAUUUCUGAUCGUGAAGUUUUUGAGCAGAGAAAAAAUUAUUUGCACUUCUAAUGAAAGGUCACUGUGAACAAUUUUAAACAUGA